UGGCCUCGUGGUUCUGAACCACAUGGGCCGUGUGCGGCUGGGCGGCAGGAGGACCGGAGUGCAGCGCGUGUGCUGCGGCAGCAGGAGGAGCUGCUGGACGAGGAGCAGCAGGAAGUGGAGGCUGGUUUCCUGGUGGAGCCACACCCCAACUGGAGAGGGGGGGGCAGAGACUUUGGAUCACAGCUGGUUCUGGGCUCAGUCUGAAGCUUCCAGCUCGACACUCGCCUCCGGUCUCCUCCAGAUAAACUAUAAGAAGUCAUCACAGUUUGGAUAAUAAAACUCAAACUUUAUUUUUUCGACACCGGACUUUAACGUAUUUUGGGAUUGUGCCAUUUUUGUGUUUUUUGAGUCCUUUACUGGACAGCUUUUCCUCUCUUUUUUUUUACUUGCCGGAGCACGUUUUGUCUGAAUGCCCCGGGAUCAUCCACUGGCCACAGUUCACCACCCGGCCUGCAGGGCGGCAGCAGAGAGCGGCGGCUGGCCGCUGGACCGGCAGAGCGUCGGCAUGAGCGACUUCUGGCACAAGAUGGGCUGCUGCGUGGUGGCCAAGGCCCCGCCGAAGAAGAAGAGGAGGAGGAAGAUUGAUCGCAGUAUGAUCGGAGAUCCGACAAACUUCAUCCACCUCACACACAUCGGCUCUGGAGAGAUGGCAGAGGGACUUCAGCCGUCGGGGCCGGUACAAGAACAGAUGAGGUCAAAAGGUCAGAGUACGAACGGCGGGAACGGCCUGUUAUAGCCGGUAAACGCACGUUUCAUUGUAACCAGCUGAGUGUUUUAACUGGACAGGCUGAGCGACGACCUCUGACCUCCCCCCCUGCGACCCCCGUCGAGCAGAGCGCUUCUCCUCUGAGGAGAACACUGGAAAAUCAGUAUUAAAGCGUCAGGGAGCGACGACAUCACCGGACUUCAUCUCCCCGGGACGACACGCGUGUGCGUUUAAGAAGAAAGCUGAAACGUUCCCUCUGUAUUCACCUCUAAUGGAUCAUGACCCCCCAGUCACUGGUCACAUGGCCGUAGUGAUGACAUCAUCAACUCCCAGGAUGCCUCAUUCUGCGCAGGAGGGAAAGUCUAGUGUGUGUGUGUGUGUGUGUGUGUGUGUGUGUUCGUAUGACAGCUCAAAUCUCCUGUGACUCAAGCUGUGGCUCUGGUCCCUGAAUCGGGUCCUCUGGCCCCGAGGGGACGGACCUGCACCAACGUUUAGUAUUUGGGGGGGUUGUUCUGAGUAUUUCCUGGUGGCCGAUCAAAUGUUUAUCUGCUUCAUACUUUGACUUUUCUAAACCGAUGUGUAUUUUCUGCAGUUUUUUGGUGCUUUGCUUCUCGAUGUCACGCGUAGAUCUCUGAUACGAGACGAUCGUGGGAAAGUUGGUUGUUGGUUCAAAUUUCACAGAAAGUUUAAUAACGGCACUUUAUGAAAACAUUUUCCUAAACUCAACAUUCUCUCUAUUUUUAAACACAUUUUAUUUAAACAUUUAACCGUCCUAUUACAUUUGUGUUGCUGUAUUAAUGUAGAAAUAUUUCAGUUUUAAAUUUGUGGUUUUAACAAUAUAAAAUCCUGUUUAAUUUAUUUAGUUUGGUUUAAGCCAGAAAUAAAACUCAUCAAAGCCCCAAAUUAUUAAUUAAUUAUUCUCGACAGAACGUCUGUUUAGGUAGAAAAGAAUUCAUCAAUUAUUUCAAGUAAAACAUUAGUGAUCGUUUCAAGCAAAGUCAUAAAAAAAGGGCCAGAACAAGAUGGUUACCGUGGAAACCAGUCGAGUGGCAGGUUCCCGUCACCGUGGCGACGGCCUCUCUGUCUCCCUCUGGGUUAGAACAUCACUUCAGUUUUGCUUGAUUUCUUUUUCUUUCAUUCACAUUAUGCAACCAUAUGAUUUGUAAUUAUAUUUGUUAUAUUUUAUAUAUUUCUUUUCCUCCGCUCGCCCGCUGCCUUCAUGGACUCCUCGCGAUGUCAGAGUUUUCUAAACUCUCCCCUCCUGUGAAAGACCCGCGUGAUGUGACAGCAAUCAGCUGACGGGAAUCACAACCUGACUGGAGGGAACGAGACGCGGGUCCAUCCGUCAUCACAGUCACCUCUGUGGUCUGUUUCUUUCAAAGAUGUUCUAUUAAACGUAUUUGUAUAAUUGAUUUCUUGUUUAUUUAGCAGUUAAAAUUCGAUGAAUCAGUUGGGGAUUAAAGCCGUUAAACGUCUCAAAUAAAAGCUAAUGUGAUAUGAACCGAUGAGCUGCAGUUCCUAAACAAAGAGUUUACUAUAAAAUCAAUGAGUGCUUUAUUAGGUUUGUGAUAUUAAUUCAAUGACAAUUGGCCAGCAGGUCGGAUUAGAGAAUAAUGCUAAUUAUUGCUAAUGCUAAUAAGGUGAUGUCACUUGACUUGAUUCCUUGUUAUGUAACACGUGGCUCAAUAAAUCGGUGCGUUUACAUGA
Non-coding RNA from Gasterosteus aculeatus aculeatus (three-spined stickleback), 2413 nucleotides. Lineage: Eukaryota; Metazoa; Chordata; Actinopteri; Perciformes; Gasterosteidae. The record is from RefSeq and is a predicted model, not a curated record.